Molecule: long non-coding RNA, 293 nt
Organism: Pistacia vera
Lineage: Eukaryota; Viridiplantae; Streptophyta; Magnoliopsida; Sapindales; Anacardiaceae
Exons: 3
Source: RefSeq, a predicted model, not a curated record
UAUUUGCUGCAGAACAUGAGAAGGUUGCUGAGUAGAUUAUCAGAUUGCUGAUAUAAAGGUGAAUGUUAUGUUGUGGAUGGCCGCGUAUUAUUGUAGUUUAUUGAGAGGUUUUAAUGUCACAUGUUUGUGAGGUGUGAUAGAAGAAGAUUAUAGUAUGUGUCUGUGAUUUUAUUUAUACCUCUAUAUAGUUAAUUUGAUGAGGUAUGUAUACCUAUUUUUUAUUGUUAUUGUGAUUGUACUCAUGAGAUGAUUGAGAGUAAUAAAGAGUUGAAGAAUAUAUCCUUAUUUUUGAA